This 597-nucleotide ribosomal RNA is filed under the name uncultured bacterium. Its description in RNAcentral is "bacterial SSU rRNA". It matches the Rfam family "Bacterial small subunit ribosomal RNA", at positions 338 to 945 of the family's 1533-position model. The record is from RNAcentral.
CCUACGGGAGGCAGCAGUGGGGAAUAUUGGGCAAUGGAGGAAACUCUGACCCAGCGACGCCGCGUGCGGGAUGAAGGCCUUCGGGUUGUAAACCGCUUUCAGUAGGGAAGAAGCGAAAGUGACGGUACCUACAAAAGAAGCACCGGCUAACUAUGUGCCAGCAGCCGCGGUAAUACAUAGGGUGCAAGCGUUGUCCGGAAUUAUUGGGCGUAAAGAGCUCGUAGGUCGUUUGUUACGUCGGAUGUGAAAACCUGAGGCUCAACCUCAGGCCUGCAUUCGAUACGGGCAAACUAGAGUUUGGUAGGGGAGACUGGAAUUCCUGGUGUAGCGGUGGAAUGCGCAGAUAUCAGGAGGAACACCAAUGGCGAAGGCAGGUCUCUGGGCCAAUACUGACACUGAGGAGCGAAAGUCUGGGGAGCGAACAGGAUUAGAUACCCUGGUAGUCCAGACCGUAAACGGUGGGCACUAGUUGUGGGAACCUUCCACGGUUUCUGCGACGCAGCUAACGCAUUAAGUGCCCCGCCUGGGGAGUACGAUCGCAAGAUUAAAACUCAAAGGAAUUGACGGCUGAGACGNGCGAGACGACGACGAGGAGAG